RNAcentral lists this ribosomal RNA (253 nucleotides) under uncultured bacterium. RNAcentral describes it as "partial 16S ribosomal RNA". It matches the Rfam family "Bacterial small subunit ribosomal RNA", at positions 524 to 776 of the family's 1533-position model. The record is from RNAcentral.
UACGAAGGGGGCUAGCGUUGUUCGGAAUUACUGGGCGUAAAGCGCACGUAGGCGGACCUUUAAGUCAGGGGUGAAAUCCCAGAGCUCAACUCUGGAACUGCCUUUGAUACUGCGUGUCUUGAGUAUGGAAGAGGUGAGUGGAAUUCCGAGUGUAGAGGUGAAAUUCGUAGAUAUUCGGAGGAACACCAGUGGCGAAGGCGGCUCACUGGUCCAUUACUGACGCCGAGGUGCGAAAGCGUGGGGAGCAAACAGG